RNAcentral lists this long non-coding RNA (1282 nucleotides) under Heterocephalus glaber (naked mole-rat). Its description in RNAcentral is "lncRNA (ENSHGLG00000047317.1)". Lineage: Eukaryota; Metazoa; Chordata; Mammalia; Rodentia; Bathyergidae. The record is from RNAcentral.
ACCACUGGGGAACUCGCUAGGGUUAUGCACAGUCAACCUACAGAGAAAGUGCAAGGCCAUUUGUGGGAACAUAGGGUGGCGAAGCCUAACCCGACCUCCAUUGCUGCUUGACAAAGUUCCAGCUGGGGGAAAGAAAGGGUGGAACACAUCGUACCCUCAUGUUUUAUUUUUUUUUUGCCGUAAUGUUUAUAAUUGUUACUCUGAUCACAGGAGUCACUGUGUUUGUGACUAACAACAGACUCUCCAUGGGGCAAAUUGGAAAUGAUAGAUUGAAAUCUGAUCUGGCUCACAAGUCCCAAAUUCCAGUUUCUCUUAGUUCUAUUGCCACAUCCACUUCUAGAGAAACCUCCUCUAAAACCCCCUCUGUUUCCCCACUACUAUAACUCCCCCUCUUAUUGCUGACAUUCUGUUUACUAAAGGGGUCUUACGAAAAGAUUGGAAGGACAGACUUUGGAUGAAAGAAAUAGUGGAAAUGGGAAAAAGAAAGAAAGUUAAGACAGCUGCAUAGCACACACGGCCGCCACUGAAGAACACCACAUUGGCAGAACCAAUGGUAUCAGCCAGGCCCAGGACCCCCAGAACCUGGUCCCUAGGACAGCAGAGCAAUCAAGGGAAGGGAUUCCGCUGCAACCCAGCAGCUGGUCACAAAUUGAAAGUGGAGCAAGCAGCACAAUCAAAGGAAAAGUAGCUUCCAGAUCUCUCUGCCAGGACUGAGGUCGCCCACGGAAAACCCUGGAGGAGGAGAGACUGAGGGAGGAGGGCACAUGGAGGGCGGAAGCGAGGCAUCUCAGGACCUACUGCAGGUCCCCAAGUCCAGUCCCAGUGAUGACGCUGCCUCACUCUCCUUCAGCUUUUUGGGGAUACCACGUACAUCGCCCUUCUGGGCCCCAGGGUCAAGCUGAUGCUGCGUCUACGGAGCUGUGUUUCCGCGCAGCAUGUGGGCCUUCCAAACCUCGUCGGACUGCUCAGCCUUGUUCCUUACCCUCCCCCACCCGAGCGGGCAAAUUAGCGAAAGUGAAGCAAACAGGACGGCAAUGUUCUCUCAGGUCCCUUCCAGAACCAAAACCCCAGAAUCUGAGUGCCAAGGAAAUUGCUCUACCAGAGCAGGGUUCCUCAUCACCCCAGCCCUGGAAUCUGGCUCUGCCAAGAUCCAGAUGAGGCCACCUGGGUGUUCAGCGCUCUCCUCCACCGGCCUCGCUUAUGGGCCCUCGGCAAGGUGAGCUCCACAUGCGUGGCCAGCCCCACUGGUCGGAGGCCAAGCCUGGGAGGUUUCUGAACGCGC